AAGCCAAUACUUUCAGAAAUCUUUUUUGUAGUGCUUUUGUAGUGAAAUGUGUUUCUAAAGUGUUUGGACUUGCUGUCCACGAGGAAGAGUUGCAGUGUUUCUGAGCGUGAAGGGGACAGUGAGUGUUGUUUUCAGUGAACUGCUCGCUAUUAUUGAUGCCCAUUCCAGUCUUCCUUAGGGGGCGGGAGGAAGGGGACACGUUCUGAGUGGG
Small nucleolar RNA from Polyodon spathula (Mississippi paddlefish), 211 nucleotides. RefSeq annotates it as small nucleolar RNA U3. The record is from RefSeq and is a predicted model, not a curated record. The transcript has a single exon. Lineage: Eukaryota; Metazoa; Chordata; Actinopteri; Acipenseriformes; Polyodontidae.